Molecule: ribosomal RNA, 631 nt
Filed under: uncultured fungus
Lineage: Eukaryota; Fungi
Description: eukaryotic LSU rRNA
Rfam family: 5.8S ribosomal RNA (bases 204-357)
Source: RNAcentral
AGUAAAAGUCGUAACAAGGUCUCCGUUGGUGAACCAGCGGAGGGAUCAUUACCGAGUUUACAACUCCCAAACCCCUGUGAACAUACCUAUCGUUGCUUCGGCGGGACCGCCCCGGGCCUUCGUGCUCGGAACCAGGCGCCCGCCGGGGACCACAAACUCUUGUAUUUUUUGGAAUCUUCUGAGUGAAAAAACAAAUGAAUCAAAACUUUCAACAACGGAUCUCUUGGUUCUGGCAUCGAUGAAGAACGCAGCGAAAUGCGAUAAGUAAUGUGAAUUGCAGAAUUCAGUGAAUCAUCGAAUCUUUGAACGCACAUUGCGCCCGCCAGUAUUCUGGCGGGCAUGCCUGUUCGAGCGUCAUUUCAACCCUCAAGCCCCCGGGCUUGGUGUUGGGGACCGGCCACCGCGGAUUCGUCCGCCGGCCGCCCCCUAAAUCUAGUGGCGGUCACGCCGCGGCUUCCUCUGCGUAGUAGCACACCUCGCAGCCGGAUCGCGGUGCGGCCACGCCGUANAACCCCAACUCUGAAAUGUUGACCUCGGAUCANGUAGGAAUACCCGCUGAACUUAAGCAUAUCAAUAAGCGGAGGAAAAGAAACCAACAGGGAUUGCCCUAGUAACGAAGGGCGAAUUCCAG